UACGGAGGGUGCAAGCGUUGUCCGGAAUCACUGGGCGUAAAGGGCGCGUAGGCGGCUUGGUAAGUAGGGGGUGAAAUCCUGCGGCUUAACCGCAGGGCUGCCUUCUAAACUGCCAGGCUCGAGCACAGUAGAGGCAGGUGGAAUUCCCGGUGUAGCGGUGGAAUGCGUAGAGAUCGGGAAGAACAUCGGUGGCGAAGGCGGCCUGCUGGGCUGUUGCUGACGCUGAGGCGCGACAGCGUGGGGAGCAAACAGG
RNAcentral lists this ribosomal RNA (253 nucleotides) under uncultured bacterium. Its description in RNAcentral is "partial 16S ribosomal RNA". It matches the Rfam family "Bacterial small subunit ribosomal RNA", at positions 524 to 776 of the family's 1533-position model. The record is from RNAcentral.